Molecule: transfer RNA, 69 nt
Filed under: Conus antoniomonteiroi
Lineage: Eukaryota; Metazoa; Mollusca; Gastropoda; Neogastropoda; Conidae
Description: tRNA-Leu
Rfam family: tRNA
About the family: Transfer RNA (tRNA) molecules are approximately 80 nucleotides in length. Their secondary structure includes four short double-helical elements and three loops (D, anti-codon, and T loops). Further hydrogen bonds mediate the characteristic L-shaped molecular structure. tRNAs have two regions of fundamental functional importance: the anti-codon, which is responsible for specific mRNA codon recognition, and the 3' end, to which the tRNAs corresponding amino acid is attached (by aminoacyl-tRNA synthetases). tRNAs cope with the degeneracy of the genetic code in two manners: having more than one tRNA (with a specific anti-codon) for a particular amino acid; and 'wobble' base-pairing, i.e. permitting non-standard base-pairing at the 3rd anti-codon position.
Source: RNAcentral
AUAGAGGUGGCAGAUUAAAUGCAUUAGGUUUAAACCCUAAAGAUAAAGGUGAAAAUUCUUUCCUUUAUA